This 181-nucleotide long non-coding RNA is filed under the name Manacus vitellinus (golden-collared manakin). Its description in RNAcentral is "lncRNA (ENSMVIG00005010306.1)". Lineage: Eukaryota; Metazoa; Chordata; Aves; Passeriformes; Pipridae. The record is from RNAcentral.
ACAGGAGUGGACAAGGACACGGAGACACACAUGCCCACGAGACCUUCCAGCACGGAGGAGGCUGGGCAGGAAAGCACAAAACAGGCAGCAACUCAUUUAGCCACCACUCUCCUCUUCAGAGCCACGUUGCUGCACAAAACAAAACCCAGCUCCGACACCCCAGAUGGGCACGUCCAGGGAU